UGUUAAUGGCCAUACCACCUUGAAUGUGCCCAAUCUUGUCAGACCUCAGAAGCUGAGCAGGGUCAGUCCUGGUUAGAACUUGGAUGGGAGAUUACCACCAUUGAGAUUGGGCCAGCUGUAAUAC
This 124-nucleotide ribosomal RNA is filed under the name Jaculus jaculus (lesser Egyptian jerboa). Lineage: Eukaryota; Metazoa; Chordata; Mammalia; Rodentia; Dipodidae. The record is from RNAcentral.